GCACUCUCUUUGGCAGCACAUAUACUGAAAUUGGAACAAUACAGAAAUUAGCAUGGCCCCUGUGCAAAUAGGACACCCAAACUUGUAAAGUGUUCCAUAUUUUU
Zalophus californianus (California sea lion) is the source of this 104-nucleotide small nuclear RNA. The record is from Ensembl. Lineage: Eukaryota; Metazoa; Chordata; Mammalia; Carnivora; Otariidae.